Molecule: ribosomal RNA, 305 nt
Filed under: uncultured bacterium
Lineage: Bacteria
Description: bacterial SSU rRNA
Rfam family: Bacterial small subunit ribosomal RNA
Source: RNAcentral
GAAGUCCUACGGGGGGCAGCAGUGGGGAAUAUUGCACAAUGGGGGAAACCCUGAUGCAGCGACGCCGCGUGAGUGAAGAAGUAUCUCGGUACGUAAAGCUCUAUCAGCAGGGAAGAAAAUGACGGUACCUGACUAAGAAGCCCCGGCUAACUACGUGCCAGCAGCCGCGGUAAUACGUAGGUGGCGAGCGUUAUCCGGAAUGAUUGGGCGUAAAGGGUGCGCAGGCGGUCCUGCAAGUCUGGAGUGAAACGCAUGAGCUCAACUCAUGCAUGGCUUUGGAAACUGGAGGACUGGAGAGCAGGAGG